GUCGGUCUUCGGUAGUGGUCCUACGGCGCAGGGAAAUGCGUGCGCCGCGGGACUUCGAUCGUGGGCCGCC
Molecule: non-coding RNA, 70 nt
Organism: Rhodococcus sp. MEB064
Lineage: Bacteria; Bacillati; Actinomycetota; Actinomycetes; Mycobacteriales; Nocardiaceae
Source: Rfam